AUGUCGUCCGCCGCGCCGGCGCCGGCGCCGGAGGAGCAGCGGCCGCGCCCGGUGCGCUUCGGCAUCAUGGGCUGCGCGUCCAUCGCGCGCAAGCUCGCGCGGGCGAUGCUGCUGGCCGCGCCCGCGGCCGCCGUGGCCGCCGUCGGCAGCCGCUCCGAGGCCAAGGCGCGCCUCUUCGCCGCCGACAACGGCCUCCCCGCGGGCGCGCGCCUGCACGGCUCCUACGAGGCGCUCCUCGACGACCCGGCCGUCGACGCCGUCUACCUGCCGCUCCCCACCAGCCUCCACGUGCAGUGGGCCACCGCCGCCGCCGCGCGGGGCAAGCACGUGCUCCUCGAGAAGCCCACCGCGCUCUGCGCCGCCGACCUCGACGCCAUCCUCGCCGCCUGCGACGCCAGCGGCGUCCAGUUCAUGGACUCCACCAUGUGGAUGCACCACCCCCGCACCGCCAAGAUGCGCGACCUCCUCCCCGCCGACGUCGGCGACGUCAGAGUUAUAAACAGUCUGUUCAGCUUCCGAGCAAACGAAGAUUUCCUCCAGAAUGACAUCAGGGUGAAGCCAGACCUCGACGCGCUGGGCGUACUCGGCGAUGCCGGGUGGUACUGCAUCCGCGCGAUCCUGUGGGCCGUCAACUACGAGCUCCCGAAGAACGUGAUCGCGCUCCCCGACCCUGUCAAGAACCAAGCCGGCGUGCUCAUCGCCUGCGGCGCGACGCUCUACUGGGCCGACGGAAAGACGGCCACCUUCCACUGCUCGUUCCUCGCCAACCUCACCAUGGACCUGACCGUCGUCGGCACCGACGGCACGCUCCACGUCACCGACUUCAUCAUCCCGUACGAGGAGAAGUCCGGCCCGUUCAGCGUGGCGUCCAGGUCGAACUUCGCCGAGCUCCACACCGGGUGGGUUCCGCAGCCCAGCAGGCACGUCGUCACGACUGACCUGCCGCAGGAGGCCCUGAUGGUCCAGGAGUUCUGCAGGCUGGUGCAGGGCAUCAGAGACGCCGGCGCCAAGCCUGAGGGCAAGUGGCCGGCCAUCACCAGGAAGACGCAGGUUGUGAUGGACGCGGUGAAGGCUUCCAUUGACAAGGGAUUUGAGUCUGUCGAUGUUGUGAGCUAA
RNAcentral lists this ribosomal RNA (1116 nucleotides) under Triticum aestivum (bread wheat). RNAcentral describes it as "partial small subunit ribosomal RNA". The record is from RNAcentral. Lineage: Eukaryota; Viridiplantae; Streptophyta; Magnoliopsida; Poales; Poaceae.